Molecule: unclassified non-coding RNA, 618 nt
Filed under: Hevea brasiliensis (rubber tree)
Lineage: Eukaryota; Viridiplantae; Streptophyta; Magnoliopsida; Malpighiales; Euphorbiaceae
Source: RNAcentral
AAAAAGGAAGAGAACAUAACGGGAGUGCAUUGUUUAACAGAACAGGUAAGGAAAUAUCUGAAUUGCGAACCAGAAAGAAUCAGUGCAAAAAUAUUUCAUCAAUCAUCAAGUUUAAGUAACAAAAUGCAGAUUAUAAUUCUACAAUUUUUUGAAUUUUUGUUUAGAAAGGGAGACUGAGGAAAGGGCAGGGUUUCCCCACCGGGGAAUACGCCUAGGUGUGGCAAUUUAAAUCAACAGUAUUUAAUCACUCGAUGAACUUGUAAAAGUGUAACUUCUUAACUAAUCAAGCCUUCUUUCAAUUGUAAGUUGUAAGCAUACACUUGUAAACGAAAUUCAUUUGCACCUAAUUCUAAAACAUUAUCACGUACUGAACGGCCAAUGAGCUGUUAAUAGACUGUUAGUGAAGUAGAUUAGCAAUUUUAUAGAAGCUGAUAUAAGUAGGAAUCACGUGUGUAAGGAGAGAUGUUAAUCAAAUAAUAGAACUGGAAACUUCCAUCUCUUCUUCUAUGCUCUCUUUAUCUUCCCUCUUUCUCUGUUUCUCUUCAGUUUUCUAUCUCUUUCUUUCCCUUUCUCUCACUUUCCCUCUCUUUCUCACUACCCAAACACCCCAUAUCGUGA